CACAUCAGAUGGGAAAUGUGCCAACGUCACAACAAGAUUUGAGGGAGGCACAUCUCAUGCUCGGACAUGAACACCGGAUCAUCAUGCUUAUGAACUACAAAAGGAUCUCCAGUAUGGGCUCACGGCAGUUGGCCCUUGAAUAACAUGAAUUUGAACUGCCUGAGUCUGCUAAUAUGUGGAUUAUCUUCUGCUUCUGCCACCCCGAGACAGCAAGACCAACCCUUCCUCUUGCUUCUUUUCCUUAGCCUAUUCAACGUGAAGAUGACUAAGCAAGAAGGCCUUUGCCAGAUGUGGCUCCUUG
RNAcentral lists this long non-coding RNA (301 nucleotides) under Pan troglodytes (chimpanzee). Its description in RNAcentral is "long non-coding RNA NONPTRT017231". The record is from RNAcentral. Lineage: Eukaryota; Metazoa; Chordata; Mammalia; Primates; Hominidae.